Eublepharis macularius is the source of this 287-nucleotide long non-coding RNA. RefSeq lists it as uncharacterized. The record is from RefSeq and is a predicted model, not a curated record. NCBI's taxonomy places the organism in Eukaryota, Metazoa, Chordata, Lepidosauria, Squamata, Eublepharidae. The transcript has 3 exons.
CGGCGGUCCAGCCCACUUGCGCUCGGACCUAGCGCUCGGCAUGGCGUGAGGGGCCGGUCCCUGCCCCGAUAAGUAUGCAGGAGCCGAGCCGGUCGCCGAGGAUGUGUAGUGCUUACCUUUGGCUGCUUCUGGGUCCAGACAGGUUGUAAUUGAACAGCAAUAACAAAGAAGAGGCAAAACAUCACAGCAGUGAAUUCCUCAUGGCAGAUACCAGAAAAAGUGAGCUAUGAAGCAAAGGUCAGAGGGUCCCAUACCAACAAUAAUGGAUGGCAUAAUUUUCAAAGAUG